UCGAUGCCCUAGCUACGCGCCGUCGACCUCCUCCUCCUCCUCCUCUUUGUUUUUAACGCUCGCUCGGCCCCCUCUCCUCAUACUCUCUCGGUUGAGCCCCAUCCCUAGCCCCGAUCGGCGAUCGACGAUUCCGCUUCUCCGCCGCCGUCGACCUCGCCGCCGUCUGAGCCCCGAUCGGCGAUCGACGAUUCCGCUUCUCCGCCGCCGUCGACCUCGCCGCCGUCUGAGUAGGUUGAAAUAUCUAUAGCAGCAGCCAAUUAAAAGCCACACACAGUUUUAUCCGACCGGAUCCCUGCUUCUGCUGCAACUUCUUUAUCGACCCUCCGGAAGAUUUUGGUUCGGCAUUCCCUUCUUCAUCGAAAAUGUUCCGUCUCUAUUGAAUCCUCUCAUUGAGCAAGUAGUCUCAAUUAAGAGAAAAGAAUUGCUCUAUCAUAAGGCUUUUACAAGGCGAUGUUAUGACCUCCAAACAGCUGAAGCAGAGGUGGAUCUGCUUGGUGAUGAGGUAGAUGUACUUCUUGGCCUAAUUCAGAAGAUAUACAUAUCACUGGACCAUUAUUCACCAGUUUUGCAACACUAUUUUGGGUCGCAAGAAUUCUUUCAAUAUCUUUUAGAAUGUUUAAUGACAAUACUCGCCCGAGCAAGGAGCAGAGCAGAGCUGAGCUUAAGAAGACUCCGGUCUGUGGACAAGACUCGCCCGAGCAAGGAGCAGAGCUUGGUUGACUGGGCUCGCCCCAAGCUUAAUGACAAUAUUGUAGAGAUGAUGAUGCCGACCCUUGAUACAUAUUGUAGAUUGUGUACGUAGGAAUUUGACUUGUAUGUUUUUAGAAUGUUUUUGAAGUACAAUGUAAUCAAAUAUGAUAAUAUGAAUGUAAUCAAAGUUCUUGUUUGUGACUCGUAUUUUGUUAUAUAUGUGAUUCAGUGUAUUUGUUUCUA
Phoenix dactylifera (date palm) is the source of this 933-nucleotide non-coding RNA. Lineage: Eukaryota; Viridiplantae; Streptophyta; Magnoliopsida; Arecales; Arecaceae. The record is from RefSeq and is a predicted model, not a curated record.